RNAcentral lists this ribosomal RNA (468 nucleotides) under uncultured bacterium. RNAcentral describes it as "partial 16S ribosomal RNA". It matches the Rfam family "Bacterial small subunit ribosomal RNA", at positions 28 to 507 of the family's 1533-position model. The record is from RNAcentral.
GAUGAACGCUGGCGGCGUGCCUAACACAUGCAAGUCGAACGGAAAGACCCUGCUUUUGUGCUGUUCUCGAUUGCCGAACGCGUGAGUGUCACGUGUGUAUCCUGCCCUUGUCUUUGGGAUAACUUCACGAAACUGGGGCUAAUACCGUAUAGGAUCUCCUGCUCCGUGGUGGGCAUUGGAAAGUUUCGGCUGUUGUGGAUGGACUCGCGGCUUAUGAGCUUGUUGGUGGGGUAGUGGCUUACCAAGGCUUUGACGGGUAGCCGGCCUGAGAGGGUGACCGGCGGCAAGGGGACUAAGAGAGGGCGCAGACGGCAAUGGGAGGCAACAGGGGGGAACAUUGCACAAUGGGAGGGAGUGUGUGGCAGAAACGUCGGGUGCGGGAUGACGGCUUUCGGGGUGAGAACAGCUGUCGCCUGUGACGAAGCGGGAGUGACGGUAAUGGGUAAAGAAGCACCGGCUAACUACGUG